ACGGUCGGACCGUAUGAGUAUACGCGUACGGUCCAGCUGACCUGACAUGUUUUGAGAUCAUAUGGGUUAAAACAAAUAUUUAUCAAAAUAUUUAUUUUUAGUUAUACAAAUUGUUAUUAUUACAAAUAGAUGGAUGAAGUGAAUAAGCGAACAAUUGACAUUAAAUAUUUGUUUAAUUGUAUAUCUGAAUCCUAUUUUGUUACUCUGGCCCAAGGUGACACUAGUCUUGCUACCACAAGGAACGUCAUAUUUUUUUUAAUGAAUUACUGACAUGCUAAAUACAGGAGAUUAACAGAUUAAAUAAGCGUGAUUUUUUUAAAUAGUUAAAAUAUUAAGUUUUUAUUUCAAUUACUAUUGAACUUUUUAUAUUAAUUUGAGAUAUAAGUUAUGUUGAUCUGUUAUAUACAUUUGUAACUAAUAAACUUGACCAACUUCUUAAUAUUAGUCAGACCGUACGCGUACGGUCCGACCGUAUACGUAUUUUGAAAAAGUACGCAUACGGUCCAGACCGUACGCGUACGGUCCAAAUACUCAUACGGUCUGGAACAUUAACAAUUAUCUU
Molecule: long non-coding RNA, 562 nt
Filed under: Mytilus galloprovincialis (Mediterranean mussel)
Lineage: Eukaryota; Metazoa; Mollusca; Bivalvia; Mytilida; Mytilidae
Source: RNAcentral